This 427-nucleotide ribosomal RNA is filed under the name Lachlania sp. Ep5630a. RNAcentral's name for it is "partial 16S ribosomal RNA". It matches the Rfam family "Bacterial large subunit ribosomal RNA", at positions 1959 to 2601 of the family's 2925-position model. The record is from RNAcentral. Lineage: Eukaryota; Metazoa; Arthropoda; Insecta; Ephemeroptera; Oligoneuriidae.
GCAUAAUCAUUAGUCUUUUCAUUGAAGGCUGGAAUGAAUGGCGGGACGAGGUAUUUGCUGUCUCUUUUGUAAUUGAGUUUAAUUUAAUUUUUCAGUCAAAAAGCUAAAAUAUUAUUGGAGGACGAGAAGACCCUAUAGAGCUUGAUACGAGAUGUGUGAUUUUAAUUUAAGGUUUAAGAUUAGGGGGAUCGUAUUUAGUUGGGGUGACUGAAAGAUAAAAAUAACUCUUUUUGUUUAUUAACACCGAUGAGUGUUUGAUUGAUCCGUUUUUUGCGAUUAAAAGAUUAAGUUACCUUAGGGAUAACAGCGUAAUUUCGUUCGAGAGUUCUAAUCGACAACGGAGUUUGCGACCUCGAUGUUGGACUAAGAUAAAUUUUGGGUGUAGCAGUUCAAAUUUUAGGUCUGUUCGACCUUUAAACUCUUACAU